UACGUAGGGUGCAAGCGUUGUCCGGAAUUAUUGGGCGUAAAGAGCUCGUAGGCGGCCUGUCGCGUCGGCUGUGAAAACCCGGGCUCAACCCCGGGCCCUGCAGUCGAUACGGGCAGGCUAGAGUCCGGCAGGGGAGACUGGAAUUCCGGUGUAGCGGUGAAUGCGCAGAUAUCAGGAGGAACACCGGUGGCGAAGGCGGGUCUCUGGGCCGGAACUGACGCUGAGGAGCGAAAGCGUGGGGAGCGAACAGG
Molecule: ribosomal RNA, 251 nt
Filed under: uncultured bacterium
Lineage: Bacteria
Description: partial 16S ribosomal RNA
Rfam family: Bacterial small subunit ribosomal RNA
Source: RNAcentral